Molecule: non-coding RNA, 618 nt
Organism: Danio rerio (zebrafish)
Lineage: Eukaryota; Metazoa; Chordata; Actinopteri; Cypriniformes; Danionidae
Source: RefSeq, a predicted model, not a curated record
UAUAUAGUGUGGGAUGUCCUGUGUAAGAACUGACCAUUGUUUUUUUCUACUUAUUUAAAAUGCGGUUGUAAUGGGGCGAUCCCCAAAGGGGAGGGGUUUCCCACUCGUAUGCGUGUAGUGGGGGAUCCCCAAGGGGGAGGGGUUUCCUCACUAUGUUUAGGUGAAUGGAGUUAGAAAUUAAGCUCGCCACCCCUUUAAAAGUGUGGAGGUUUUGCUUCCGUUAUAUCCCUGGCAUGGAAUAGUGGCAGUGUGUUGAGUGCGUGCAAACUUUUGAUGUGCGUUAAGCAUUGAGCGUUGAGCAGUAAGCCUGCAGUGUUUAGAAAAACCUGUAAUUCUGUUUCUUUGGCCUGCGGAAGUGCAAUCGCAUCAGCAAGUAACGCUACAUCCAUGUAUGAUUGGUGGAUUGCUCACCAUUUGCGUUAAGAGCCAGUUGACUGGGCUGCGGAGAGCCCGUUGCUGUUUUGCUGCUGUCUGGCGACCCGUUUGUGCUACGGAGGGGCGAUUUCACUUUCCUUCUCGGCACCUGAUUGUGUGUGACUCGGUUGCGUCAAGGCUGUGUGUGUGUGUGUGUGUGUGUGUGUGUGUGUGUGUGUGUGUGUGUGUGUGUGUGUGUGUGUG